Molecule: ribosomal RNA, 600 nt
Filed under: Lentinula edodes (shiitake mushroom)
Lineage: Eukaryota; Fungi; Basidiomycota; Agaricomycetes; Agaricales; Omphalotaceae
Description: partial 18S ribosomal RNA
Source: RNAcentral
UUUGGUGGUGGAUUGUUGCUGGCCUUUGGGUAUGUGCACAUCCUCCUCCGAUUUCUAUUCAUCCACCUGUGCACUUUUUGUAGGAGUUCUUUCAUCGGGUUUUUGAAGGGGGUUCUUUUUAAUUUAUUUGAAAAAAUUAUUUAACAAGGUUCCAUGGUCCUUAUAACCCUUUGAAUAUGGUAAAAAAAGGACCUGGUAUUGGGAAUUUUUUGGCCCCUUUAACUUUAUAACACUUUUCACCACCGAAUUCCUGGGUCCCCCCUUCAAGAAAAAACCCACCAAAUGGCAAUAAUAAAGGGGAAUGGCAAAAUUCAUGGAACCUCCAAUCCUUUAACCCCCCCUUGCCCCCCCGGGAUUUCCGAAGGGAUGGCCGGUUGAAUGGCCUUUAAUUCCCCACUUUUUUAAUUUUUUUAUUUAUAAAAUUGGGUGUGGGAGGGGUGUGCGGGUUUUUGUCCUCCCCUCUUAAUUUUUUUAGGGAAACCCGUGUUUUGUUAUCUCAACCUGGGGUGAGAAAUUUCUCCACUUUGGGGGGAACCUUUAAAAAAAAAAAUCUCUUGUGUUGGGGUGUGGCGUUUUUAUUUCGCUCACUCUGCUCUACUC